CUAAUACAUGCAAGUCGAACGCGUCUUGGUUAUUGAUGUUAAGUGCUUGCAUUUAACUGAUUUAACAUUGAGACGAGUGGCGAACUGGUGAGUAACACGUGGGUAACCUGCCCUUGAAGUAGGGGAUAACACUUGGAAACAGGUGCUAAUACCGUAUAACAACCAAAACCACCUGGUUUUGGUUUAAAAGAUGGCUUCGGCUAUCACUUUAGGAUGGACCCGCGGCGUAUUAGCUUGUUGGUAAGGUAACGGCCUACCAAGGCAAUGAUACGUAGCCGACCUGAGAGGGUAAUCGGCCACAUUGGGACUGAGACACGGCCCAAACUCCUACGGGAGGCAGCAGUAGGGAAUCUUCCACAAUGGACGAAAGUCUGAUGGAGCAACGCCGCGUGAGUGAUGAAGGGUUUCGGCUCGUAAAACUCUGUUGUUGGAGAAGAACAGGUGUGAGAGUAACUGUUCACAUCUUGACGGUAUCCAACCAGAAAGCCACGGCUAACUACGUGCCAGCAGCCGCGGUAAUACGUAGGUGGCAAGCGUUGUCCGGAUUUAUUGGGCGUAAAGCGAGCGCAGGCGGUUUCUUAGGUCUGAUGUGAAAGCCUUCGGCUUAACCGGAGAAGUGCAUCGGAAACCAGGAGACUUGAGUGCAGAAGAGGACAGUGGAACUCCAUGUGUAGCGGUGAAAUGCGUAGAUAUAUGGAAGAACACCAGUGGCGAAGGC
This 718-nucleotide ribosomal RNA is filed under the name Lentilactobacillus parabuchneri. RNAcentral's name for it is "bacterial SSU rRNA". It matches the Rfam family "Bacterial small subunit ribosomal RNA", at positions 48 to 722 of the family's 1533-position model. Lineage: Bacteria; Bacillati; Bacillota; Bacilli; Lactobacillales; Lactobacillaceae. The record is from RNAcentral.